CCUACGGGAGACAGCAGUCGAGAAUCAUUCACAAUGGGGGAAACCCCGAUGGUGCGACGCCGCGUGGGGGAAUGAAGGUCUUCGGAUUGUAAACCCCUGUCAUGUGGGAGCAAAUUAAAAAGAUAGUACCACAAGAGGAAGAGACGGCUAACUCUGUGCCAGCAGCCGCGGUAAUACAGAGGUCUCAAGCGUUGUUCGGAAUCACUGGGCGUAAAGCGUGCGGAGGCUGUUUCGUAAGUCGUGUGUGAAAGGCGCGGGCUCAACCCGCGGACGGCACAUGAUACUGCGAGACUAGAGUAAUGGAGGGGGAACCGGAAUGCUCGGUGUAGCAGUGAAAUGCGUAGAUAUCGAGAGGAACACUCGUGGCGAAGGCGGGUUCCUAGACAUUAACUGACGCUGAGGCACGAAGGCCAGGGGAGCGAAAGGGAUUAGAUACCCUAGUAGUC
This 446-nucleotide ribosomal RNA is filed under the name uncultured bacterium. Its description in RNAcentral is "partial 16S ribosomal RNA". It matches the Rfam family "Bacterial small subunit ribosomal RNA", at positions 338 to 795 of the family's 1533-position model. The record is from RNAcentral.